GAUGAGGAGAAUGAGCGUAAGGAGUUGCUGGGUGUGGCCUUCAGUAGGAUAAUGAGGAUGGAAGCUGGCAGUGGUGACCACAUCAAGACGUGGCACCACAACACAAUGAAGGCCCGGAACGUGAACACACGAUGAUCCGCUUUGAGGAGGACAGUGGGGCAUUCUCUUGCCUCACAGCAGACUGCAAGAAACAAGAUCCUUCAACCCCAAUCACAGGAAGAGGCAGGAGGGAUGCGGCAGACAGCAGAUGAUGGCAGGUGACGGCAGCCUCGUGGUUCUCUUCCCUGUUCCUUGGUGGCGCUGCUUCACUCCUUACCGCCUGGUGUCCCCGCUCGGCUCUUUUCACGACUCGCAACGAGGGAGAAAGGUCGAAGUGCGGUGGUCUCGUGGCGGAAGGCUGAAGGAGGCGGUGAAGGAGUGAAGGUGUGAAGUGUGCAGCUUCCACUUCAUCAUCCCAUGAACAGCCCACAGGAAUCUCUACCAGCACCUGGUUAUUAAACAGUGUUGUCACGCCAGGCCCAAUGUACUCCAUUGCAAUCAGGGAGUCAAGCUUCACCAGGAAAAGAGGCAGAGCGUCACCACCUUCAAGCCCCACAAGAGGUAUUAAGUAUCGUUGGGACAAAGCAAUCAGGGAAGAGUCAAGUUGCAGUAAGAAGAGUGUGUCAAGAAUUUCAAGCAGGAAGAACACGUAAAAUUCCCUUCAAGUCAUGGCGGGACCGACAGGCAACCUUCAACACUUGUGGAGGCACGAGAGCUGCAGGCAGUUUCACAAAGAAGAGGUUGCUCCUCACUCAAGUUGACGCAAGGACACAAGAAUUGGCAAGUGUUGUUGCUCCCAGGCCCUGCUGCAAGAGUUCUCCAGUCCACUCCAGUCUGGGAAGGAAGAAUAUAGCAAGUCCCUCUCUUCUGUACUCAACAACCACCACCACCACCUUCAUUCAGGCUUGGGAUAAGUUUUGUACAUUCCAGCACUUCAGUAAUAAGGAAAAAAAGUGCCAUGUUUAUAUUAUUGUUGUGUAUUUAUUCACUUAACAUUCACAUUAAAACAAUAAACAUUCAGUAUACCAUCUUGAACAUAA
Scylla paramamosain (green mud crab) is the source of this 1079-nucleotide long non-coding RNA. RefSeq lists it as uncharacterized. The record is from RefSeq and is a predicted model, not a curated record. The transcript is spliced from 6 exons. NCBI's taxonomy places the organism in Eukaryota, Metazoa, Arthropoda, Malacostraca, Decapoda, Portunidae.